Molecule: ribosomal RNA, 253 nt
Filed under: uncultured Bacillota bacterium
Lineage: Bacteria; Bacillati; Bacillota
Description: uncultured Firmicutes bacterium partial 16S ribosomal RNA
Rfam family: Bacterial small subunit ribosomal RNA
Source: RNAcentral
UACGUAGGGGGCAAGCGUUAUCCGGAUUUACUGGGUGUAAAGGGAGCGUAGACGGUAAUGCAAGUCUGGAGUGAAAUGCAGGGGCUCAACCCCUGAACUGCUUUGGAAACUGUAUGACUGGAGUGCAGGAGGGGUAAGUGGAAUUCCUAGUGUAGCGGUGAAAUGCGUAGAUAUUAGGAGGAACACCAGUGGCGAAGGCGGCUUACUGGACUGUAACUGACGUUGAGGCUCGAAAGCGUGGGGAGCAAACAGG